GCUCCCCAGGGUGUCCGCCAGAUCUCCAAGGACUCCAAUGGCAGUUUUCAUAACAACUUCAUCCAUGUCUUUUCUCAUGUAAAUACUAUCCAAGAAUUGAAGUAUAUGAGGGGCAUAAGGGACCAAAAGCUGAGUUUUUGGAGAGCUCUUGAAACCUUGGAAGAUCCCUGAAUAUGCCUCCAAAAUCCCAUUUCUCAAAGAAUUUGUAUACUCGGUCAUUUCAUCAUCAAUACCUGCUGUGUGUGCAGAUAGCUCUGCGGCCCUUUGAAGCAUGGGCAUCGCAUACAUCAA
Molecule: unclassified non-coding RNA, 291 nt
Filed under: Hevea brasiliensis (rubber tree)
Lineage: Eukaryota; Viridiplantae; Streptophyta; Magnoliopsida; Malpighiales; Euphorbiaceae
Source: RNAcentral